RNAcentral lists this unclassified non-coding RNA (548 nucleotides) under plant metagenome. RNAcentral describes it as "partial contains 5.8S ribosomal RNA, internal transcribed spacer 2, and large subunit ribosomal RNA". The record is from RNAcentral.
GCUAAAUCAGGAGAAACCGCGGUAAUUAAUGGGAAUUAUUUUUAUGAACCCCUUACUAUCGCUUUCUCUGAUGGUUCAACCGUAGAAGCAAGUUCUGUCGGAGCCACGGAAAUACAAUUCGAGGUUCCUGAGAAUGCUCCUGCCGGACCGAUAACCAUUACAACUAAUUUUGGUUCGACAGUGUCGGGCUUUCAUUUUCAUGAUAGCAGGAACAUCGUUUUGAACUAUGAUGAUUUAACUGCUGCAGGUAGUUGGAGACCAGGUCCGACAGGAGAGGAAAAUGGCAUCGACGGUAAAUACUUAAAACUGUUCGGUAAGUUAAAGGCUAACGAUAGGGUGGAAGAUAAUUUUGAAUCUCAGUUCUGGGGUCACACCAGGUACCCUUCUGCCCGGAAUUUGUUUGAGGGCAGUGCCGAUGAUAAGGUAUUGAAGUUUGAAGCUCGCGUUACAUCAUGGUAUGGCUCUUACUUCCAGAUAUGCUGGGGACCUUGGGACAAUGCAAAUAACCAGGAAGUCUGGGGCAACCUGAAUGGAAGAGGGGUAUGGAG